GACGAACGCUGGCGGCGUGCUUAACACAUGCAAGUCGAACGGAAAGGCCCUGCUUUUGUGGGGUGCUCGAGUGGCGAACGGGUGAGUAAAACGUGAGUAACCUGCCCUUGACUUUGGGAUAAAUUCAGGAAACUGGGGCUAAUACCGGAGAGGAGCUCCUGCUGCAUGGUGGGGGUUGGAGAGUUUCGGCGGUUGGGGAUGGACUCGCGGCUUAUCAGCUUGUUGGUGGGGUAGUGGCUUACCAAGGCUUUGACGGGUAGCCGGCCGGAGGGGGCUACCGGCCGCAUUGGGCCUGAGAUACGGGCCAGACUCCUACGGGAGGCAGCAGGGGCGAAUAUUGGACAAUGGGCGGAAGCCUGAUGCAGCAACGCCGCGUGCGGGAUGACGGCCUUCGGGGUGUAAGCCGCUUUCGCCUGUGACGGAGCGUGAGUGACUGUAAUGGGUAAAGAAGCCCCGGCUACUUACGU
Molecule: ribosomal RNA, 467 nt
Filed under: uncultured bacterium
Lineage: Bacteria
Description: partial 16S ribosomal RNA
Rfam family: Bacterial small subunit ribosomal RNA
Source: RNAcentral